GAUGAAGAACGUAGCGAAAUGCGAUAAGUAAUGUGAAUUGCAGAAUUCAGUGAAUCAUCGAAUCUUUGAACGCACAUUGCGCCCCCUGGUAUUCCGGGGGGCAUACCUGUCCGAGCGUCAUUACAACCCUCAAGCUCGGCUUGGUGUUGGGCCCCGCCGCCCCGGCGGGCCCUAAAGUCAGUGGCGGUGCCGUCCGGCUCCGAGCGUAGUAAUUCUUCUCGCUCUGGAGGUCCGGUCGUGUGCUCGCCAGCAACCCCCAAUUUUUUUCAGGUUGACCUCGGAUCAGGUAGGGAUACCCGCUGAACUUAAGCAUAUCAAUAAGCGGAGGA
RNAcentral lists this unclassified non-coding RNA (329 nucleotides) under soil metagenome. Its description in RNAcentral is "partial contains 5.8S ribosomal RNA, internal transcribed spacer 2, and large subunit ribosomal RNA". The stretch from base 1 to 120 matches the Rfam family "5.8S ribosomal RNA", at positions 35 to 154 of the family's 154-position model. The record is from RNAcentral.